Molecule: non-coding RNA, 94 nt
Organism: Acanthosepion pharaonis
Lineage: Eukaryota; Metazoa; Mollusca; Cephalopoda; Sepiida; Sepiidae
Source: the annotation of a GenBank genome assembly
UAACACUGAUUCACAUACGGUCACUGAAGUUAAGCAAUGUCAAGCCUGGUCAGUACCUAGAUGGGUGACCGCUUGGGAAUACCAGGUGUUGUAU